AGAGUUUGAUCAUGGCUCAGGAUGAACGCUGGCGGCGUGCCUAAUACAUGCAAGUCGAGCGAACCACUUCGGUGGUGAGCGGCGAACGGGUGAGUAACACGUAGGUGAUCUGCCCAUCAGGCGGGGACAACGAUUGGAAACGAUCGCUAAUACCGGAUAGGACGAAAGUUUAAAGGUGCUUCUGGCACCGCUGAUGGAUGAGCCUGCGGCGCAUUAGCUAGUUGGUAGGGUAAAGGCCUACCAAGGCGACGAUGCGUAGCCGACCUGAGAGGGUGAACGGCCACACUGGGACUGAGACACGGCCCAGACUCCUACGGGAGGCAGCAGUAGGGAAUCUUCGGCAAUGGGCGAAAGCCUGACCGAGCAACGCCGCGUGAAUGAUGAAGGCCUUCGGGUUGUAAAAUUCUGUUAUAAGGGAAGAACGACUUUAGUAGGAAAUGGCUAGAGUGUGACGGUACCUUAUGAGAAAGCCACGGCUAACUACGUG
RNAcentral lists this ribosomal RNA (487 nucleotides) under uncultured bacterium. Its description in RNAcentral is "bacterial SSU rRNA". It matches the Rfam family "Bacterial small subunit ribosomal RNA", at positions 8 to 507 of the family's 1533-position model. The record is from RNAcentral.